GUGGCUAUAGCUCAGUUGGUAGAGCCCCGGAUUGUGGUUCCGAUUGUCAUGGGUUCGAAUCCCAUUAGUCACCCCA
RNAcentral lists this transfer RNA (76 nucleotides) under Arsenophonus endosymbiont of Bemisia tabaci Asia II 3. RNAcentral's name for it is "tRNA-His". It matches the Rfam family "tRNA". From Rfam's summary of the family: Transfer RNA (tRNA) molecules are approximately 80 nucleotides in length. Their secondary structure includes four short double-helical elements and three loops (D, anti-codon, and T loops). Lineage: Bacteria; Pseudomonadati; Pseudomonadota; Gammaproteobacteria; Enterobacterales; Morganellaceae. The record is from RNAcentral.